AAAUUGAAGAGUUUGAUCAUGGCUCAGAUUGAACGCUGGCGGCAGGCCUAACACAUGCAAGUCGAACGGUAACAGGAAGCAGCUUGCUGCUUUGCUGACGAGUGGCGGACGGGUGAGUAAUGUCUGGGAAACUGCCUGAUGGAGGGGGAUAACUACUGGAAACGGUAGCUAAUACC
Molecule: ribosomal RNA, 176 nt
Filed under: Escherichia coli
Lineage: Bacteria; Pseudomonadati; Pseudomonadota; Gammaproteobacteria; Enterobacterales; Enterobacteriaceae
Description: partial 16S ribosomal RNA
Rfam family: Bacterial small subunit ribosomal RNA
Source: RNAcentral